CUUGUAGGCUGAGGCCAACUUGUCUGUAAUUGCUGAAGUAGGUUAAAGGAGUGGACAGAUGAUUGCAGCCAUGGAAUUUGAGCUCAGCUGUGCAGUUUUCCUCGCUGCAGCAAUCAUAGCACAAGCACGGCGCUGAACACUCCUGCAAACUAUGAGGACAAGUUUCCAGUGAGCUUUGCAUCGUGGGGAGAGCAAACCCCAAUCUCCUGCAGUAUAAGGUAACAUCCCUGCGAUACGUACAUCCUGCUGUGCAGCACAGCUGCAGGGCAGAGCCCGUUUCACUUCUUUCCUUUUUUGGAUCUGCGUGCACACGGUCCCUAAUGGAGCCGGAUACCAAGAACAGAAACCAAGUCACUACAGCGCCGCACGACUACCGGUGAUCCCCUCCCCUCGGCGAUAUCACCAUAAUCGCGAACCAUCCUCAAGCCCCGCACAAACCCCGUGCCCUACAGCAGCUCUAGGUACCGGGCACAGAACGAUCAGCCCGUCCCAAAGCUCCAACACAACCCACCGACCGCAAACUUAUCCCCC
Molecule: long non-coding RNA, 531 nt
Filed under: Gallus gallus (chicken)
Lineage: Eukaryota; Metazoa; Chordata; Aves; Galliformes; Phasianidae
Description: long non-coding RNA NONGGAT001416
Source: RNAcentral